RNAcentral lists this ribosomal RNA (496 nucleotides) under uncultured bacterium. RNAcentral describes it as "partial 16S ribosomal RNA". It matches the Rfam family "Bacterial small subunit ribosomal RNA", at positions 28 to 506 of the family's 1533-position model. The record is from RNAcentral.
GAUGAACGCUGGCGGCGUGCCUAAUACAUGCAAGUCGAGCGAACAGACGAGGAGCUUGCUCCUCUGACGUUAGCGGCGGUCGGGUGAGUAACACGUGGAUAACCUACCUAUAAGACUGGGAUAACUUCGGGAAACCGGAGCUAAUACCGGAUAAUAUAUUGAACCGCAUGGUUCAAUAGUGAAAGACGGUUUUGCUGUCACUUAUAGAUGGAUCCGCGCCGCAUUAGCUAGUUGGUAAGGUAACGGCUUACCAAGGCAACGAUGCGUAGCCGACCUGAGAGGGUGAUCGGCCACACUGGAACUGAGACACGGUCCAGACUCCGACGGGAGGCAGCAGUAGGGAAUCUUCCGCAAUGGGCGAAAGCCUGACGGAGCAACGCCGCGUGAGUGAUGAAGGUCUUCGGAUCGUAAAACUCUGUUAUUAGGGAAGAACAAAUGUGUAAGUAACUAUGCACGUCUGGACGGUACCUAAUCAGAAAGCCACGGCUAACUACGU